CCACUCAAGAUCUCAAGGAUUGACUGCUUGACUGAAUGUUUUCCCAUCAGUAAGAAUUCACCAAGGUUUUCAGCAACGAAAAAUGGCACUCUGGCUAAACCUUCUGUCCUUGUUAGUUGUCCUCAGAGGUGUCCAAUCUGAGAUUCAGUUGGUGGAGUCUGGAGGGGAUGUAAGAAGACCUGGAGAGACCCUCCGUCUCUCCUGCCAAGCCUCUGGAUUCACCUUCAGCAGCUAUGAGAUGGUCUGGGUGAGACAGGCUCCAGGGAAAGGUCUGGAAUGGGUGGCUUAUAUAUGGUCUUCAGAUAUUUACUACUCUGACAAAGUGAAGGGACGCUUCACCAUCUCCAGGAAUGAUGCCAAAAGCCAGCUGUAUCUGCAAAUGAACAGCCUCAAACCAGAGGACACAGCCAUCUAUUACUGUGCGAGAGACACAAUGAGAGGAAGUAUAUGUGAAGCCAAGCAAAAACUGCCUAUUUCGUCCAGUGGUUCUGCAAAUUUCUUUUCUAAGAAAAAAACAGGUUCAUUAAUUCAGAUUCUCCCUUCAUGCCUUCAUUCUGUACACGAACCUUCAUCCAUUCAAUCUAUAGGAACAGACCUCUUUUUGUUCAUUUAG
This is a non-coding RNA of Crotalus tigris (Tiger rattlesnake), 613 nucleotides long. Lineage: Eukaryota; Metazoa; Chordata; Lepidosauria; Squamata; Viperidae. The record is from the annotation of a RefSeq genome assembly.